Molecule: long non-coding RNA, 941 nt
Organism: Malaclemys terrapin pileata
Lineage: Eukaryota; Metazoa; Chordata; Testudines; Emydidae
Exons: 5
Source: RefSeq, a predicted model, not a curated record
CUCAAAAGUGAAAUAAGAAUGCCGCAACUACUCUUUUUUUCUUCCUGGAAGCUGAACAGAAAACAGAGUAGCUUGAAAGCUAAGAAAAUGCAUUUAUUCCAGCUAAGACACUGAGCUCCCAAAAAGUCCAGAUCAGCUACAGACCUCAAACUUUUACCCAGAGGAAUGGUAUAUUGACCAUAGAAUGCAGACGCAGCCUGCAAACCACCUCCCAGGGACAGGUAUUGAAAUUUUGCUAUUAAAUUGACUCUUGUCAUUUGGAGAGGAGAAAAUCAAUGGAUUGCACAUCAAGAUGGUGAUUCAUUAAAGAAGGACCUUUCAAAGAUAGUUGCUGAACUGCAUUAGAACCCAUGGGCCUAGAGCCAGGGAUUACAGGGUCUGAAGCAAACAGUACUUCCUUAUUGCCACCAGCUGCCCACAGAGGAGUACCACCAAGAAGUACUGAGAUGUUAAGCCCUGCAGGAAGUCUCAACAUAAGGCACAUGAGCAACAGUCCUGAUUCUGUGAUUGGCUGGCACUCUCCAUAUAAACCAGGAAGUCACUUCUGGAAGUUGUGUGAGCAAUGCAGACCUCUGGUGUGCUUCUGCCUGAGAUGCCACUCCCUGCUGCGACUCGCCUGGAUACUUGACCUUGGCCCAGCCUCUGACCCUGAUCUUGGUUUACUAUCUUCAACUUAGGGCCAUUGCUGACGCUGGUGGAAGACCUUGGCCCAGCCUAACCCCUAUUCUCGCCUCAGGCUCUCAAGUAGGUAAUGGACUCUGACUCUGAGGUUUUGACCUGGCCAGUCCCUGGACUGCCCUUCAACUCUUCAGCCCAGACACUGAGCAUUUCACCCUGCACACAAGCCACCUAUGAUCCAGCCCUGGCUACUUGGCAAAAACAUGUUUUCUUUUUACCUAUUUUAAGAGAAGAAAUGAAUGAGAAAAUUAUUUCCUUCUUUU